GACGAACGCUGGCGGCGUGCUUAACACAUGCAAGUCGAGCGGAAAGGCCCUUUCGGGGGUCUCGAGCGGCGAACGGGUGAGUAACACGUGAGUAAUCUGCCCUGCGCUCUGGGAUAGCCACCGGAAACGGUGAUUAAUACCGGAUAGGACCACUUCACGCAUGUGAUGGUGGUGGAAAGUUUUUUCGGCGCAGGAUGUGCUCGCGGCCUAUCAGCUUGUUGGUGAGGUAACGGCUCACCAAGGCUUUGACGGGUAACCGGCCUGAGAGGGUGACCGGUCACACUGGGACUGAGACACGGCCCAGACUCCUACGGGAGGCAGCAGUGGGGAAUAUUGGACAAUGGGCGGAAGCCUGAUCCAGCAACGCCGCGUGAGGGAUGACGGCCUUCGGGUUGUAAACCUCUUUCAGUACCGACGAAGCGAAAGUGACGGUAGGUACAGAAGAAGGACCGGCCAACUACGUGCCAGCAGCCGCGGUAAUACGUAGGGUCCGAGCGUUGUCCGGAAUUAUUGGGCGUAAAGGGCUCGUAGGCGGUUUGUCGCGUCGGGAGUGAAAACACCGGGCUUAACUCGGUGCUUGCUUUCGAUACGGGCAGACUAGAGGUAUGCAGGGGAGAAUGGAAUUCCUGGUGUAGCGGUGAAAUGCGCAGAUAUCAGGAGGAAC
RNAcentral lists this ribosomal RNA (664 nucleotides) under uncultured Actinomycetes bacterium. RNAcentral describes it as "bacterial SSU rRNA". It matches the Rfam family "Bacterial small subunit ribosomal RNA", at positions 28 to 707 of the family's 1533-position model. Lineage: Bacteria; Bacillati; Actinomycetota; Actinomycetes. The record is from RNAcentral.